CUUCAAUAAAGAAACUCGUAAUCACACCCGAAGUACUUCAAAGUUUUGGCUACCAAUACACCUUAGAUUUACCCAUUAACUGCUCAGGAAUUUAAAAUCUGAACCUUUUCUUCGUCGGCUUGUUACUCGUACCUCCGAUUAACACUUGGCCACAUCAAUGCUAGGCCAAUAAAUUAGAAUAUUCAUCCAACGUUCACUCCUAUAUAUUACAUCUCACAAUCAAACAUUUAGAAUUGAUGAUUAUUC
RNAcentral lists this unclassified non-coding RNA (246 nucleotides) under Moritella viscosa. RNAcentral's name for it is "putative sRNA". The record is from RNAcentral. Lineage: Bacteria; Pseudomonadati; Pseudomonadota; Gammaproteobacteria; Alteromonadales; Moritellaceae.